RNAcentral lists this ribosomal RNA (279 nucleotides) under uncultured archaeon. RNAcentral's name for it is "partial 16S rRNA". It matches the Rfam family "Archaeal small subunit ribosomal RNA", at positions 1047 to 1325 of the family's 1478-position model. The record is from RNAcentral.
GAGACCCACGCCAACAGUUGCCAGCAUGUCCUCCGGGAUGAUGGGGACACUGUUGGGACCGCCUCUGCUAAAGAGGAGGAAGGAAUGGGCAACGGUAGGUCAGCAUGCCCCGAAUUAUCCGGGCUACACGCGGGCUACAAUGGUCAGGACAAUGGGUAUCGACACCGAGAGGUGAAGGCAAUCUCUUAAACCUGUCCUUAGUUCGGAUUGUGGGCUGCAACUCGCCCACAUGAAGCUGGAAUCCGUAGUAAUCGCGUCUCAAAAUGGCGCGGUGAAUAU